AUUGAACGCUGGCGGCAUGCCUUACACAUGCAAGUCGAACGGCAGCACGGGAGCUUGCUCCUGGUGGCGAGUGGCGAACGGGUGAGUAAUACAUCGGAACGUACCCUGAAGUGGGGGAUAACGUAGCGAAAGUUACGCUAAUACCGCAUAUUCUGUGAGCAGGAAAGAGGGGGAUCGCAAGACCUCUUGCUUUAGGAGCGGCCGAUGUCGGAUUAGCUAGUUGGUGAGGUAAAGGCUCACCAAGGCGACGAUCCGUAGCGGGUAUGAGAGGAUGAUCCGCCACACUGGGACUGAGACACGGCCCAGACUCCUACGGGAGGCAGCAGUGGGGAAUUUUGGACAAUGGGCGCAAGCCUGAUCCAGCCAUGCCGCGUGAGUGAAGAAGGCCUGG
This 391-nucleotide ribosomal RNA is filed under the name uncultured bacterium. Its description in RNAcentral is "bacterial SSU rRNA". It matches the Rfam family "Bacterial small subunit ribosomal RNA", at positions 30 to 419 of the family's 1533-position model. The record is from RNAcentral.